GACGAACGCUGGCGGCGUGCUUAACACAUGCAAGUCGAACGGAAAGGCCCUGCUUUUGUGGGGUGCUCGAGUGGCGAACGGGUGAGUAACACGUGAGUAACCUGCCCUUGACUUUGGGAUAACUUCAGGAAACUGGGGCUAAUACCGGAUAGGAGCUCCUGCUGCAUGGUGGGGGUUGGAAAGUUUCGGCGGUUGGGGAUGGACUCGCGGCUUAUCAGCUUGUUGGUGGGGUAGUGGCUUACCAAGGCUUUGACGGGUAGCCGGCCUGAGAGGGUGACCGGGCACAUUGGGACUGAGGUACGGCCCAGACUCCUACGGGGGGCAGCAGUGGGGAAUAUUGCACAAUGGGCGGAAGCCUGAUGCAGCAACGCCGCGUGCGGGAUGACGGCCUUCGGGUGGUAAACCGCUUUCGCCUGUGACGAAGCGUGAGGGACGGUAAUGGGUAAAGAAGCACCGGCUAACUACGU
RNAcentral lists this ribosomal RNA (467 nucleotides) under uncultured bacterium. RNAcentral's name for it is "partial 16S ribosomal RNA". It matches the Rfam family "Bacterial small subunit ribosomal RNA", at positions 28 to 506 of the family's 1533-position model. The record is from RNAcentral.